Molecule: ribosomal RNA, 373 nt
Filed under: uncultured organism
Description: partial 16S ribosomal RNA
Rfam family: Bacterial small subunit ribosomal RNA
Source: RNAcentral
GUAGGUGGCAAGCGUUGUCCGGAAUUAUUGGGGCGUAAAGCGCGCGCAGGCGGUUCUUUAAGUCUGAUGUGAAAGCCCACGGGCUCAACCGUGGAGGGUCAUUGGAAACUGGAGAACUUGAGUACAGAAGAGGAAAGCGGAAUUCCACGUGUAGCGGUGAAAUGCGUAGAGAUGUGGAGGAACACCAGUGGCGAAGGCGGCUUUCUGGUCUGUAACUGACGCUGAGGCGCGAAAGCGUGGGGAGCAAACAGGAUUAGAUACCCUGGUAGUCCACGCCGUAAACGAUGAGUGCUAAGUGUUAGGGGGUUUCCGCCCCUUAGUGCUGCAGCUAACGCAUUAAGCACUCCGCCUGGGGAGUACGGCCGCAAGGCCG